RNAcentral lists this ribosomal RNA (554 nucleotides) under uncultured bacterium. RNAcentral's name for it is "partial 16S ribosomal RNA". It matches the Rfam family "Bacterial small subunit ribosomal RNA", at positions 355 to 900 of the family's 1533-position model. The record is from RNAcentral.
UAGGGAAUCUUCCACAAUGGACGCAAGUCUGAUGGAGCAACGCCGCGUGAGUGAAGAAGGCUUUCGGGUCGUAAAACUCUGUUAUUGAAGAAGAACGUGCGUGACAGUAACUGGUCAUGCAGUGACGGUAUUCAAUCAGAAAGUCACGGCUAACUACGUGCCAGCAGCCGCGGUAAUACGUAGGUGGCAAGCGUUGUCCGGAUUUAUUGGGCGUAAAGCGAGUGCAGGCGGUCUUUUAAGUCUGAUGUGAAAGCCUUCGGCUUAACCGAAGAAGGGCAUCGGAAACUGGGAGACUUGAGUGCAGAAGAGGAGAGUGGAACUCCAUGUGUAGCGGUGAAAUGCGUAGAUAUAUGGAAGAACACCAGUGGCGAAGGCGGCUCUCUGGUCUGUAACUGACGCUGAGGCUCGAAAGCGUGGGUAGCAAACAGGAUUAGAUACCCUGGUAGUUCACGCCGUAAACGAUGAAUACUAAGUGUUGGAGGGUUUCCGCCCUUCAGUGCUGCAGCUAACGCAUUAAGUAUUCCGCCUGGGGAGUACGACCGCAAGGUUGAAAC